Molecule: non-coding RNA, 107 nt
Organism: Gossypium raimondii (Peruvian cotton)
Lineage: Eukaryota; Viridiplantae; Streptophyta; Magnoliopsida; Malvales; Malvaceae
Source: Rfam
AAUCUGUGAUGUUGACAUUUUUUAAUCAACAUUUUGAAGUGUUUCCACGCCUCAUAGAAACCUUAUCAUUCUAUCUGCCUAAAGACAUCAAUCUUUCUUCUUAGUUG